AUUUAAAUAGUUUAAUUAAAAUAUAAUAUUGAAGAUAUUAAGAUAAAUUAUUUUUUUUAAAUA
RNAcentral lists this transfer RNA (63 nucleotides) under Eurytoma sp. TJS-2016. Its description in RNAcentral is "tRNA-Phe". The record is from RNAcentral. Lineage: Eukaryota; Metazoa; Arthropoda; Insecta; Hymenoptera; Eurytomidae.